GUGCUCUUCCGAUCUGUUUCCCAGUCACGAUAAAACUAAAUGGAAAUGCUGAAUAAAACAAAGCCCUACAAAUUGCACCAGCUAUUUUCAUUACCACUAAGUUGAUCAAAUGUGGUCCAGUCGCACAGACAGCCAGGAUGUUUGCUUGGAAGCAGCAAUUCAUUUAAAGAGUGCGUAACAGCUCACUGGUCGAGCGACAGGGCAUAAACAAUAAACGGGCAUUAAGUGUAUCACCGAAGCUCUAGAUGCGCGCAAGCGUAUGGUAGGGGAGCAUUCUAGCAAGCUGUGAAGAAGUACCGUAAGGACUAUUGGAGCGACUAGAAAAGCAAAUGUUGGCAUAAGUAACGAUAAUGGAAGUGAAAAACUUCCACUCCGUAAAUCUAAGGUUUCCUGAUCAAUGAUAAUCAGAUCAGGGUUAGUCGGGACCUAAGGCGAGGUCGAAAGGCGUAGUCGAUGGAGACCGGGUCAACAAUCCCGGACACAAUAUGGGAGCAAAACUAGGGACGCAUGAAAGAUAGCCACGCCCUGAAUGGAUUGGGAAGACCGUUACGACGGUCGAGUGGUAAAGGAAAGUGCCAAAAAAGCUAGGGUUGUGAUGAACAUAUAGUACCCGUACCCGAAACCGACACAGGUAGGGAGGUUGAGAAUACCAAGGGGCGCGAGAUAACUCUCUCUAAGGAACUCGGCAAAAUGGCCCCGUAACUUAGGAAGAAGGGGUGCCAGCCGAAAGGCUGGUCGCAGUGAAGAGAUCCAGGCGACUGUUUACCAAAAACACAGGUCUCCGCUAACUCGAAAGAGGACGUAUGGGGGCUGACGCCUGCCCAGUGCCGGAAGGUUAAGGAAGUUGGUCAGUGGAAACAUAAAGCUGACGACCGAAGCCCCGGUGAACGGCGGCCGUAACUAUAACGGUCCUAAGGUAGCGAAAUUCCUUGUCGGGUAAGUUCCGACCCGCACGAAAGGCGUAACGAUCUGGGCGCUGUCUCAGAGAGAGACUCGGCGAAAUAGGAAUGUCUGUGAAGAUACGGACUACCUGCACCUGGACAGAAAGACCCUAUGAAGCUUUACUGUAGCCUGGAAUUGUGUUCGGGCUUGGCUUGCGCAGGAUAGGUGGGAAGCGGAGAACUUCUCCUUGAGGGGGGAAGGGAGCUAACGGUGAGAUACCACUCUGGCGAAGCUAGAAUUCUAACUCAUCACCGUAAGCCGGUGAGAGGAAAGUUUCAGGUGGGCAGUUUGACUGGGGCGGUCGCCUCCUAAAAGGUAACGGAGGCGCGCAAAGGUUCUCUCAGCACGCUUGGAAACCGUGCGACGAGUGUAAAGGCAAGAAGAGAGCUUGACUGCAAGACCAACAAGUCGAGCAGGGACGAAAGUCGGCCUUAGUGAUCCGACGGCGCAGCAUGGAAUGGCCGUCGCUCAACGGAUAAAAGUUACUCUAGGGAUAACAGGCUGAUCCCCCCCAAGAGUCCACAUCGACGGGGAGGUUUGGCACCUCGAUGUCGGCUCAUCGCAACCUGGGGCGGAAGUACGUCCCAAGGGUUGGGCUGUUCGCCCAUUAAUGCAGGCUAUCGUGACUGGGAAAC
Molecule: ribosomal RNA, 1577 nt
Filed under: freshwater metagenome
Description: bacterial LSU rRNA
Rfam family: Bacterial large subunit ribosomal RNA
Source: RNAcentral